UGGCUGCAGUCAAGAGCUUUCCACAAUGGGCGCAAGCCUGAUGGAGCGACGCCGCGUGCAGGAUGAAGGUCUUAGGACUGUAAACUGCUUUUCUCCGUGAAAAAUUUCGAUGAUAUUAACGGAGGAAUAAGGGGUUGCUAAACUCGUGCCAGCAGCAGCGGUAAAACGAGUACCCCAAGCGUUAUCCGAAUUUACUGGGCGUAAAGGGUGUGUAGGGGGAUAUGUUAGUCCUGCUUUAAAUAUCUAUGCUUAACAUAGAUACCGGUGGGAUACGGCAUAUCUAGAGAGUGCAAGAGGUCUGUGGAACUCACGGUGUAGGGGUGAAAUCCGUUGAUAUCGUGGGGAACACCAAAGGCGAAGGCAACAGACUGGUGCAUUUCUGACCCUGAAACACGAAAGCGUGGGGAUAGAAAAGGAUUAGAUACCCGUGUANUC
RNAcentral lists this ribosomal RNA (435 nucleotides) under uncultured microorganism. RNAcentral describes it as "bacterial SSU rRNA". It matches the Rfam family "Bacterial small subunit ribosomal RNA", at positions 346 to 795 of the family's 1533-position model. The record is from RNAcentral.